Molecule: non-coding RNA, 85 nt
Organism: Sturnus vulgaris (Common starling)
Lineage: Eukaryota; Metazoa; Chordata; Aves; Passeriformes; Sturnidae
Source: RefSeq, a predicted model, not a curated record
UGCAGAAGUGAGAGUUUUGGGCUAGAUAUUAGAAAAAGGGUUUUUCACCCAGGGGGUGGUUGGGCAAUGGAACAGUCCUCCCAGG